Molecule: ribosomal RNA, 858 nt
Filed under: Salmonella enterica
Lineage: Bacteria; Pseudomonadati; Pseudomonadota; Gammaproteobacteria; Enterobacterales; Enterobacteriaceae
Description: partial 23S ribosomal RNA
Rfam family: Bacterial large subunit ribosomal RNA
Source: RNAcentral
AAGACCCCGUGAACCUUUACUAUAGCUUGACACUGAACAUUGAGCCUUGAUGUGUAGGAUAGGUGGGAGGCUUUGAAGCGUGGACGCCAGUCUGCGUGGAGCCGACCUUGAAAUACCACCCUUUAAUGUUUGAUGUUCUAACGUGGACCCGUAAUCCGGGUUGCGGACAGUGUCUGGUGGGUAGUUUGACUGGGGCGGUCUCCUCCUAAAGAGUAACGGAGGAGCACGAAGGUUGGCUAAUCCUGGUCGGACAUCAGGAGGUUAGUGCAAUGGCAUAAGCCAGCUUGACUGCGAGCGUGACGGCGCGAGCAGGUGCGAAAGCAGGUCAUAGUGAUCCGGUGGUUCUGAAUGGAAGGGCCAUCGCUCAACGGAUAAAAGGUACUCCGGGGAUAACAGGCUGAUACCGCCCAAGAGUUCAUAUCGACGGCGGUGUUUGGCACCUCGAUGUCGGCUCAUCACAUCCUGGGGCUGAAGUAGGUCCCAAGGGUAUGGCUGUUCGCCAUUUAAAGUGGUACGCGAGCUGGGUUUAGAACGUCGUGAGACAGUUCGGUCCCUAUCUGCCGUGGGCGCUGGAGAACUGAGGGGGGCUGCUCCUAGUACGAGAGGACCGGAGUGGACGCAUCACUGGUGUUCGGGUUGUCAUGCCAAUGGCACUGCCCGGUAGCUAAAUGCGGAAGAGAUAAGUGCUGAAAGCAUCUAAGCACGAAACUUGCCCCGAGAUGAGUUCUCCCUGAGACUUUAGGUCUCCUGAAGGAACGUUGAAGACGACGACGUUGAUAGGCCGGGUGUGUAAGCGUAGCGAUGCGUUGAGCUAACCGGUACUAAUGAACCGUGAGGCUUAACCUUACAACGCCGAAG